GGGCCGGGGCCGUGCCGGGGGCUGAGCCAGGGCCGUGUCCGCAGGUGAGCCCCGUGCGGAUGCGGCGACCGGGCGAGGGGCAGCGCCGCGGUGCCCGGGCGGUGCCGAGGGGCCGGCCCGGGGCAGGAGACGCGGAUUCCGGCGGAGACUUCCCAGCCGAUCGGCCCGGCGCCCUUCGGAGCGGGAUGGAGGAGCCCGACAAGGAGGGAGAUGGUGCCGGAGGGAAGACCGCCUGGCAGCAGAGCCUGAGUCCCGAGCUGCAGCAGGGAUACCGAAUCCUGCGCGAGUUCCUGCUGGAGAAGUAUCGGCCUCUGACGGCGCCGUUCCUGGAGCCCCUCGCGGAUCAGGCAUCUUUCGGAGAAGGCGGCGCCGGCUCCCCCUCGGGCCAUAACAGCGGCCAGUCCCUUCAGCAGCUGCCAACUGGAAUAUGGCUGUUGAAGAUGGAAGAGAAAUUUUCCAGCGGGCAGUACACAGGGAUAGCAGAUUUCGUGUGUGACUUCCGGCUCAUGCUGGAGACUUGCUAUCGACUGCAUGGUGUGGAUCACUGGCUCUCCAAACAGGCCCAGAAGCUGGAGAUGAUGCUGGAACAGAAGUUGGCGCUGCUGUCCCGGCAUUUAAGAGAGAAAACAUCAUUAGCUGUCACAUCUAGAGGAUGCUAUGGGCAGGAAGAUGAGAAAGGAACAGCAUGCAUUUCCACAAGACGUCGUUCCACACCUCGCAGUUUAGUAGGCUUGUCAACAGGCAUGUUUGAGUCUGUGAUGGUUCAGGUUCUAAGACAAGAGGAGCAGCUGAGAGCAAAAGAGGAAAAGAGGCAGAGAGAUCAAGAAAGAAAAGAAGCAGAAGAAGCUAGUCAGAAAGAAAUAGAAGAAUGGGAAAAAUCACUUUUAGCUCAAGCAGCACCUACAAGGAUGGAGAUGAUGUGGGAGAUUCCAGCUAUUGGUCAUUUUCUUUGUUUAGCACAACAGAUUUUAAAUUUACCUGAAAUAGUAUUCUAUGAAUUGGAACGCUGUCUUCUGAUGCCUCAGUGUAAUGUUUUUUUAUCUAAAAUAAUGACUUCUUUGUUAAGUCCUCCUCAUCGCAGAUCUACGUUACACCGCAGGCCGACAUUUUCUUACAGGACUUGGGAAGCAGCACUGAGAAAAAAAGUACAACACUGGUACACUGUUGUAGGGCAGACUGACAAUCCUAAUGGUGCUGCAGAAAAACUUGGCUUGUGUCCCCAGUUUUUCAAAGUGCUCGGAGAAGUUAAUCCCUUGGAAGAAAAACCAUUUCAUGAGCUACCAUUCUACCAAAAAGUAUGGCUGCUGAAAGGUCUCUGUGACUUUGUGUAUGAAACACAAAAGGAUGUUCAGGAUGCAGUGCUAGGUCAGCCUAUCCACGAAUGCAGAGAAGUAAUUCUUGGUUAUGACUGCUUGGAGAAUGCAUAUGUUCAUUUUCCACAGUUCUGUGGUGCGGAUGUUCGGAUUUACAAACAAAAACCUUUUCAGGCUCCUGAAUUCCCAUCUCUUCCCAUCAAAGUUAAAAAAGUGCCACGUAUUAAAUCGGAAAGAGUAAAACAUGAAUAUGUAGCCAAAAGCAAUGGGGAGGUCAGUUCUCCUGGUAGAGAACUGCUACAUCAUUCCAAGACAGAAGUAGAGAAAAGUAUGGACUCUGUCGUUAUCUGUCCAGAAAAACCCCCACAUUUAGGCACCUUUAGAGUCCGUACAGGGGAGAUAAACUGUGAAAUCAAAGCCUCAGGAGUCUGUGACAUCAAGAAAAGUGUUUAUUAUAAAGAGAACUUGAGGAAUUUGAUUACUUCAGGAAAGAUUGUUGGUAUGGGUGGUGACUCUAGUUCAAGAGAAAUAACAGAUUGGGAGAAUGCACAAAGUUGUGCUGAAAUGGCCAGACUAAGAUCUGAUACGAGUCCGUUCAAGGAGAACACACUGAAAGCUUGCCAAGUGCAUGUCAAUGGCACUUACAAUAAUAACCAAGACAUCAGUUACCAUGAAUCUGCUAAAGAAACAGUGCUAGAGAACUCACUGCGUCAUAAUAAGAAACUAAAUAAGAUACUAGCAAAAAAGAAGAAAAAGAAAAAAAAGAAGUUGAAGGAUAUUCUAAAUGAAAAUCUACAGAGAAAACUUGAUGACCUGCAAAGAAAGCGUGAGAUUCAUCUUCAUCCAUUCAAAUCUUAUAAAUCUGAACUCCAGAACAAGUUGUUUAUAAUUAAAAAGAAAGCAAAACACAAGAAGCACAAAUCUGGAAAAAAAUCGCUUACUAAAAAAGCAAUCACAAAGAAGAGGAAGGGUGUCAGAAAGUCUACCAUACCAGAAUUUCAGCUUAUUUGCACUAAUCUUGAUGAACUCAGGGAAUUAAUCACAAAGAUUGAGAAUGAACUCAAAGAUCUGGAGGACAUUAAAAAGAAAUCGGGAAGAUGGUACCACCGGAAGCAAGCAGUAAAGGAAUUGCAUGGUACGUUGUUACGACUGCUUAAUGAACUGUUACCAUGGGAACCAAAGCUAAUUAAAGCAUUUCAAAGAAACAGGUCUAGAUUGAAGAAGGACUAUGAUGACUUUAAAAGACAUCCAGACCAUGAUAAAUUUACCAGAGAAUUGUGGAGUAAUGAUGAAAGUGAAGUUGAUUCUGGCAAAGAAUCUUUUGCAGUAGUAUGCGGUAAAUCACCAGAGUCUGCAGAACAUGUAGAAGUUCCCAUAAAAGAUCACUCAGACAAUGAUGAAAUGAAACCAUUAGAGAUGAAUUUGCCUGCAGUAAAAAACAGAAUUCUGAAAAAAGAAUCAUCUUCUAAAGAAAUCCAGAAGACACUGCCCAAAUGCAUUAAACGACAGUUCAAACAAAAUAGUUGUCUGGAUCAAAGCACUAAUGAGCUUUCACCGAGGAAGAAACCUAAGCUGAACACUGUUGAGACUGUGGUCCAGAGUUCAGAAAGCAGCCUGCAGCCAGAUAAUUGUUUGACUGAGCUGAAACAAUUUGAAGGGUCAACUUUAGAGUUGUUUUCCUUGACAGAUCCUACAACAUCAGUAUCAAACUUUCUGAAAGGGACCAAACCCAUCCAGGCCUUGCUUGCCAAGAAUACUGGGAACAAAGUGACCUUAACAAAUCAACCAUCGCCUCCCCCAGGCAUAAAUGUAUCAACUUCUGAAAAGUCAGUUUUACCACCUUUGGAAUCAUCAGUGAUCAAACCAGCAUUGCCCUGCCAGGCCAGUUCAAAGACUCCCUUACAAAUGGUAUACAAAAUGCCAAAUGGCCACUGUGUACCAAUAGACCUUCAGAAUAGCUCAGUGAAAAUUCAAAUGCAAACUGUGACUGACCCUAAAACUGGAGAAAAAGUCAUGCAACAAGUUCUUAUUUUACCUAAGAAUUUUCUUCAGCAGCAGGAAGGAAAAAUUGCAUCCAAGGAUGUUCAGCCACUACAGCAAAAAUCAUCUGAGCUGCACUGUGCAUCUUUACCAAAAAUGUCAAAUGUCAGUGUUUCUUUAACACCUGUUCUCAUGACAGGCUCUGCAAAUACUACCACUCAGUCACCUACUACAAUUUUUAGCAAGAAUAUUACCCACUCGUCACAAGUGACUGGUUCCAUGAACACUACACUAUCGUUGCCUGAUGUAACUUCAGCAGGUAACUUACUAUCAUCAACAGUUAAGGUGAACCAAACUGAAACUGACAAAAUCAAGACUACAGUUUUGACUGCUACAUUCCCUGUGUCUUUGACUUCAUCUACUCUUUCCACAUCUAGCCAGUCCUUGAUACCAGCAACAGCAUUAAGUGGGUCUGCGAACACUGAUUCUGCCUGUCAUAGUCUUGCAUUGCAGCAGCCAACUGACUCCUGUGAAACUAGGCAAGAGCUGAAGACUGUAUGUGUAAGAGAAUCACAAUCUAUUCUGGUAACAACACGAGGCGGAAACACAGGCAUUGUUAAAGUGCAAACAAACCCAGACCAGAUUUCACCUAGUAGUUUAUCUUCUAGUCCAGUUUUCACUUACACUUCUCAGCUUCAGGCCUUUCUUGCGCCAAAAACCACAGCAUUAUCAUACUCUUCUGUUCCAUCUCUAGCAACAGCCACAUCUGGUCUGCAACAUAAUGGACAAUCAUCUCUUUCUGGAUUUGCCCCCUCAACAGCUUCUUCUGUUAACAUUCCAGCUUUCCCAGCUGAUUUUACUCAGGCAAUAGAGAAAAAUACCAAGUUUGCACUACAGCAGCCUGCUGUUGGGGACACUUCAGGUCAAGUAAUAGAGAACUCCUGCUAUGUGUCCUCUUCUUUAUCCACCAUUUCUUUAGCUAGCAACAUGAUGUCCACAACUCCAAACAGUCCUGUUAGUGUGACUAGCACUGGACAAAAUAACACUACCAUAACUCCAAAUUCUUCUGUACAUCAUCAAGGGGAUACUAAAAUCAAAACAAAUUCUGUUGUGCAAUCUGAGUCUAAUUCAGCAACAAGUGGAAGUUUAAUCAGUGGUGCUCCGGUCCAGAAAUUUACAUUAGUUACAAAUUCACCAAUUUUGUCUCCCUCUGGAGCAUCAGGAGUCAGUAUUAUACCCUCUCCACCAUCCACUGUUGUUAAUGCUCAGAAGCUGGUUUUCAUUAACACACAAAUUGCCAGUGGCCCAUCAACCACCAAUCUAGUUGCAGAGUCAUUGAGACAGAACCUUCCUUCUCCCCUAACCAAAACCUUUGUUAAUGCCACAGAGCAACCACAUUUGGUUUUGAUCCCAUCUACAGUAGGAGCACCAAUAAGAAUAAAUUCAUCGCCAACUGUUGCUCAAGUAAAAGAUGUAAAAAUUGGCUUAAAUAUAGGUCAGACCAUUGUAAAUACUAAAGGCAAUGCACAGGAGGCCCCACCAGUUAAUAUAUUGCACUCUGCCAUUUCUAAGGGAGAAGACAAAAAGGGCAUUGGCUUGGCGCUGUCUUUGACAAGUAGCAGUACUGUGGUUCCUGCUCCAGCUUUUGCUGUGUCGGCUAAUGAAUCUGUAUGUGUUGCAACAAAAGCUGAAAAUGCCUUUACAACAGCAAAUGCAUGUGUAGAAUCUGUUUCAGUAACAUCAAGUGGGACUUCUUCUGGGCCACGGCCCACUGUCUUGAGUGGUCGCAGUGAUCCCUCAAGAAUAAGGCCAGUUCUGGGUAAUCGACUUUGUACAUCAAGUAUUGGAAAUAUGGGUAUAUCAACUGUGAAAACAGGACAUCUUGCUUCAUCUGUGCUGAUUUCAACCACACAACCAACAGUAUCUCCGCAAAAUUUAGCAUCUGCUUUGCAGUUUCCAUUCAUUAGCUUGCCUGGAUCUGCAGCCGCCCCCCAAAAGGUGUUACAUACAUUUCCUCAGAUAGCAACAGUUCCAGCUCAUCUUCCAGUAUCAAAAAGCCAGUUGCCAACACUGCUUCAGUUUCAGUCAUCAGGAACUUCAGCUGCUAUGGCAAGUCACACAGGUAUUCACAAACCUCAGACUGUGUUGUCCUCUCCGUCACCAAAUGCAGAUGAAGGCAAUGAAGUACUGAGUUUUCAUAGCAACAUGGAGGAACUGGGAAUAGAAUCCUUGGUCCCCUGAACUCCUUCCAACAUCCCAUCCAUUACUAAAGCAGUUCCAAGUUUUUUCUGAAUAUGUUUACCAGAUGAUAAUCCUAAAAUUCCUCCUGAAAACAACAGCACAAGCAAAUCCAGCACUGAAUGGUGUCUAAAAAGGGCAGCUGUUUCAGUCCAGAGUGUCAGGAGCAAUGAGAUGGUUGGGGUGCAUGUGAUGGUAUGCAGAAAUAAAAAUCAAUUACUCCUGCCAAGAUAUUUUUCCAUGGUGGCGCUCAGUGAUGGGACCAGAAGCAAUGGGCACAGAUUGAAACACAGGAGCUGCUCUGAACAUCAGGAAACUUUUUUCUGUGAGGGUGACUGAGCACUAGCACAGAUUGCCUGGAGAGCUUGUUGGGUCUCCCAGACUGGAGAUAGGCAAAAGAUGUCUGGACACAGUCAUGAGCAACCUCCAGGUGGCCCUGCUGGAGCAAAGGGUUUCCUGCACAUAUUCUUAUUUCCAGAGUGGGAAAGGAGGGAAGACACCUUUUAAGAGAAUUGUUGGCUCUAGCUGCUCAUGAAAUCAAAAUACAUACCAGAUUUCAAAAUUCCUACCCCUAGUAUCCUCAGCUAAGGGCUCUGAGUUGCUGUUGGAAGAAAACCAUAAAGCCAUAAAGUCAUACCCUGUAGGAAGCCAGUCGUUACAUACAUCCAGACCAUGUUGAAUCCAAAAAAUCCCAGUGCCAUUCCUGAAAAAGCCAGGAGUCCUCCAGUGAUCACAACUGCCCGAUGGGUGUAUCGUACACAUAAUGAACUGGCAAAAGGGGCUGGAUCAGCAGCAAAAUUGAAGAAAGAAAAAUACAGUGGGAACAUUAAGCUGAUUGACAUGAGAAAAUAAUCAAAUAAUUCAAAUAAAGUAUCCUUAUAACUCUUAUCUCAGACUUAAUUCUUCUGGAUUGAGCAAGACAUCAAUUGAAAUUUCAAAAUUGGAUCCUUACUGACAGGGAAAUGAUUGUCCUGGGGCUCAGAUUUUUAAAUAUAUUCAAAAUAUGUAGUCUUUUUUAAAGUAAAGGAGCAUUUAUUUCACUGCCUUCCUUGCAGGAUAGUUCUACUGAGUUUCAUAUAAGAAUGGAACUAGCAAUGUGAAAGAAACUACUGUGGCAUUUUAGCAGAAAGUGAAACUUCAAUUGUAUUAUUGAGACUGUACUAUUGAUAUGGCUGGCAUGGAAAAUUCCUGGAGGAAAAUAACCUUUCUCCUCUAUAGAGUUUUGCAAAAUCAUCUCUUUAUGGAAUUACAAAAGUUUAUAAAGGAGAAAAAAAUCAGUGUUUAUUUUGUGCUAUUGCUUUUUACAGGAAAUUUGCAGUUAAUUUCUUAAAUCUUUAUUGUAGUGAUACAGUUUCUCUCAGCGGACUGCAGGGACUCUUCAACAUGAGGGCAAAGAUGCAGUAGGUACAGAUCUGAAAGCGCAGCAACUGCUUUGACCUCUAGUCACUAUCUGGAAGCACCUGAAAUGUCAGGGAUAUUUUUGCUUAAUCAAGGAUGUUACAUUGCCUCGCUGUUUUUCCAUCAGCAUUACAGAGAUGGCUGUAAGAUUUCGUUAAAUAGCCGUGGCCACUAGGGGCCUCCCUAGUACCACCUGGCAUCAGUCAGCUCCCUUCAAUCCAUUAAUAUUCUGGGAAUUAGAAUUCAGUUAACGAGGACCAUGCUUGUAAAUUGAAAUAAGUAGGAAGACAGUGAAGAGAGGGCAGUCAGCAAGGAAGGUUUCAUAGUAAUUUGUAGGGGCAAGUUAUUGUAGGUUCAACUGUAUUAGGAUCAGAAUUAGGAGAAUUCAGUGGCUAGGAUGAAUGAAAUAAACCUGGCAGAGUACUAAUGGCUGCAAAAUGUGCAGGAUGUACGUUGUCUGAUAGCAGACAGACCUGGCAGAAGUUAUACAAACCCCAGAUGUCUCAUCAACAUUUACAGCAAAAAUAUGAUGAUUUUAUAAACAUGUAAAAAUUAUACCAAAAUUCAGUCAUGGUCUGCAAGAUGUAGUGGAUGAGACGUGAUAAAGUAUAUACAGUUGGAGAAUCAUACAUUAUGAUGA
RNA transcript from Empidonax traillii (willow flycatcher), 7569 nucleotides. It is a transcript of the gene named KIAA2026 ortholog, with no coding region annotated. The transcript is spliced from 12 exons. The record is from RefSeq and is a predicted model, not a curated record. Lineage: Eukaryota; Metazoa; Chordata; Aves; Passeriformes; Tyrannidae.